Long non-coding RNA from Anopheles arabiensis, 911 nucleotides. RefSeq lists it as uncharacterized. The transcript is spliced from 3 exons. The record is from RefSeq and is a predicted model, not a curated record. Lineage: Eukaryota; Metazoa; Arthropoda; Insecta; Diptera; Culicidae.
UCUGUGCAGAUCCUGUGUCGCGUCCUGUGUGCUUCUUUUAUUGGGUUUUUCUUUUUUACGGCUUUUUUUGUACGGGUAAAAGUGAUAAGGUUUUCUGGGACAGUGGCGCUCAGCAUCGUUCCCUUCAUCCUUCCGUGGAGAUGAAAAGCCAGACCAACAGCCAGCAGCUGUAUCACACCCGCCACCGUGCGUCUCCAUGAGAAUGCGUCAAAGUGGUGGACGCUUUUAUCUCCGAAACAGGAUCAACAUCAAAGCAUCAACCGGCGGCAGAAUUUAAAAAAGAACUUACAUAUUACCCAGGCUGGAUGGACGCAAGCCUUUAAAGUAUGAAUGCAAAAGUAUUGAAAACCUCGCCCGGAUUGGAACUUUAGAGAACUAAAAAAAACAUGAAAUUGGGAGAGUCUUCCAAACACGCGGAUGUGUGCCUUUGAUGGAAACGGUUUAUUGCGCGGAUUCUAAUUACACCUCGUAAAAUGGUACCCGUUUUUCGGUCGCGAUGUCGAGAUGCCGCCGAGAUAUGAAGCGUGCGAAUUUGCGAAUUGCGAUGGCGAGAAAUCACCCGAUCGCGCACGAAUCGCGCAGCUCAUUCGCCUCCUCGAACACGAACCAAUGUCCCAAUGUCCAGCGUCAUCUAUCGGCGAGAUUUAGUACUACUCAGAACCGCUGCAUCUUUUACUGUCAACCGAAGCUCUACGCAAGGUGGAUGCAAUCCGAGAUCAGGUGAGGACAGAUAGAGACGAAGACUAAGAAAUCAUUAAUUUAUUUGCUAUUUUCACCUUUAUUCCGCAUCAUCUACGAGACACACAUGGACACACGAGGACAAUUGCAGUAAGUAUUGCCUGAUUUUGUAUCUCUGAUGUUUGUUCAAUAAAAUGAAUAAAUACAAAAAUGCACUUGCCUAUAAGCAAGAA